CCUACGGGAGGCAGCAGUAGGGAAUUUUCCACAAUGGGCGAAAGCCUGAUGGAGCAACGCCGCGUGCAGGAUGAAUGCCUUCGGGUUGUAAACUGCUUUUAUAUGUGACGAAUAUGACGGUAGCAUAUGAAUAAGGAUCGGCUAACUCCGUGCCAGCAGCCGCGGUAAU
This 169-nucleotide ribosomal RNA is filed under the name uncultured bacterium. Its description in RNAcentral is "partial 16S ribosomal RNA". It matches the Rfam family "Bacterial small subunit ribosomal RNA", at positions 338 to 524 of the family's 1533-position model. The record is from RNAcentral.